This 279-nucleotide ribosomal RNA is filed under the name uncultured bacterium. RNAcentral describes it as "partial 16S ribosomal RNA". It matches the Rfam family "Bacterial small subunit ribosomal RNA", at positions 506 to 784 of the family's 1533-position model. The record is from RNAcentral.
UGCCAGCCGCCGCGGUAACACGGGGGGCGCAAGCGUUAUUCGGAAUUAUUGGGCGUAAAGAGAUCGUAGGUGGUUUAUUAAGUCGGAUCUGAAAGCCCGGGGCUCAACCCCGGAAGUGCAUUGGAAACUGGCGAACUUGAGUACGGGAGAGGAAAGUGGAAUUCCGAGUGUAGGGGUGAAAUCCGUAGAUAUUCGGAGGAACACCAGUGGCGAAGGCGGCUUUCUGGACCGAUACUGACGCUGAGACGCGAAAGCGUGGGGAGCAAACAGGAUUAGAUA